UAUAUUUGCAAUCCAAAAACGCGUACAUAAAAAUCAUUUAAAAUAAUAUUGGCAUG
RNAcentral lists this non-coding RNA (56 nucleotides) under unclassified sequences. RNAcentral describes it as "S15-Flavobacteria ribosomal protein leader". It matches the Rfam family "S15-Flavobacteria ribosomal protein leader". The record is from RNAcentral.